RNAcentral lists this ribosomal RNA (253 nucleotides) under uncultured bacterium. Its description in RNAcentral is "partial 16S ribosomal RNA". It matches the Rfam family "Bacterial small subunit ribosomal RNA", at positions 524 to 776 of the family's 1533-position model. The record is from RNAcentral.
UACAGAGGUCCCAAGCGUUGUUCGGAUUCACUGGGCGUAAAGGGUGCGCAGGUGGGUUUGCAAGUUUGAUGUGAAAGCCCCGGGCUUAACCCGGGAAUGGCAUUGAAUACUGCAGAUCUGGAGGAUUGGAGGGGAGACUGGAAUUCUUGGUGUAGCAGUGAAAUGCGUAGAUAUCAAGAGGAACACCAGUGGCGAAGGCGAGUCCCUGGACAAUACCUGACACUGAGGCACGAAAGCCAAGGGAGCAAACAGG